GAUGAACGCUGGCGGCGUGCCUAAUACAUGCAAGUCGAGCGAACGGACGAGAAGCUUGCUUCUCUGAUGUUAGCGGCGGACGGGUGAGUAACACGUGGAUAACCUACCUAUAAGACUGGGAUAACUUCGGGAAACCGGAGCUAAUACCGGAUAAUAUUUUGAACCGCAUGGUUCAAAAGUGAAAGACGGUCUUGCUGUCACUUAUAGAUGGAUCCGCGCUGCAUUAGCUAGUUGGUAAGGUAACGGCUUACCAAGGCAACGAUGCAUAGCCGACCUGAGAGGGUGAUCGGCCACACUGGAACUGAGACACGGUCCAGACUCCUACGGGAGGCAGCAGUAGGGAAUCUUCCGCAAUGGGCGAGAGCCUGACGGAGCAACGCCGCGUGAGUGAUGAAGGUCUUCGGAUCGUAAAACUCUGUUAUUAGGGAAGAACAUAUGUGUAAGUAACUGUGCACAUCUUGACGGUACCUAAUCAGAAAGCCACGGCUAACUACGUGCCAGCAGCCGCGGUAAUACGUAGGUGGCAAGCGUUAUCCGGAAUUAUUGGGCGUAAAGCGCGCGUAGGCGGUUUUUUAAGUCUGAUGUGAAAGCCCACGGCUCAACCGUGGAGGGUCAUUGGAAACUGGAAAACUUGAGUGCAGAAGAGGAAAGUGGAAUUCCAUGUGUAGCGGUGAAAUGCGCAGAGAUAUGGAGGAACACCAGUGGCGAAGGCGACUUUCUGGUCUGUAACUGACGCUGAUGUGCGAAAGCGUGGGGAUCAAACAGGAUUAGAUACCCUGGUAGUCCACGCCGUAAACGAUGAGUGCUAAGUGUUAGGGGGUUUCCGCCCCUUAGUGCUGCAGCUAACGCAUUAAGCACUCCGCCUGGGGAGUACGACCGCAAGGUUGAAACUCAAAGGAAUUGACGGGGACCCGCACAAGCGGUGGAGCAUGUGGUUUAAUUCGAAGCAACGCGAAGAACCUUACCAAAUCUUGACAUCCUUUGACAACUCUAGAGAUAGAGCCUUCCCCUUCGGGGGACAAAGUGACAGGUGGUGCAUGGUUGUCGUCAGCUCGUGUCGUGAGAUGUUGGGUUAAGUCCCGCAACGAGCGCAACCCUUAAGCUUAGUUGCCAUCAUUAAGUUGGGCACUCUAAGUUGACUGCCGGUGACAAACCGGAGGAAGGUGGGGAUGACGUCAAAUCAUCAUGCCCCUUAUGAUUUGGGCUACACACGUGCUACAAUGGACAAUACAAAGGGCAGCGAAACCGCGAGGUCAAGCAAAUCCCAUAAAGUUGUUCUCAGCUCGGAUUGUAGUCUGCAACUCGACUACAUGAAGCUGGAAUCGCUAGUAAUCGUAAAUCAGCAUGCUACGGUGAAUACGUUCCCGGGUCU
RNAcentral lists this ribosomal RNA (1372 nucleotides) under uncultured bacterium. Its description in RNAcentral is "bacterial SSU rRNA". It matches the Rfam family "Bacterial small subunit ribosomal RNA", at positions 28 to 1381 of the family's 1533-position model. The record is from RNAcentral.